AGCCUUCCUCCUUUUUCCUUAUUCUUUUAUUUUGGUCACAUAAACCAAAACCCAUUUGCAUUAUCUACUCAUUUGAAAGAACUCAAACAAAGUAGCCCAUGUCUUCUUCUUUGUCUCGCAAUUUUUUCUCUGAAAAUGGCUAAUCAAUGUUGAAAUUCUUCAACAAACAAUCAUUCAUCUUCUACAUUUGAGUUUCGUAAGCCUUCGAUUUUGAGGGAACAAGACAGCAGCACAUGAUAUGUUUUAUGACUCAAAUGAAUACAACAACACAACCCCUGGUUUGGCUCGACAACAACGGGUUUCUUGCCUUCUCUUGAUUCGAAAAAUCAGCAAUUGUUUUUGGUCUCUAGUUACUAAAAAUCUAUAGAGAUCGGUACCAAUCGGGAACGAUAAAUGAAGAACUGAUUAGAGUAUGCGUGGAAGAUAUGUUGGAUUAGUGUAUGUAUUGGAGUUAUAGUGUCCGUAUUGGGCUUUAGUGUGUUGUAGAUUUGAUUAUGUUGACAAUUAUGGACUUUGAUUUAGAUGUUUGGUUUUGAGAUUAGUUAUUACAAUUAAGUUUAGGUCUUGUGAUAUUUUUUACGAGUAAUUAUUUGAGAUAUGAGUUCUUUGGGUUAGUAAAUCCCGUAAUGACCUGUCUUAUUUGGUCAACCGAUAAGUCAAGUUGUUACAUUUGCAGCCUUUGAAAGAAGGAAAAUAAUGGCACAUAAUCAAUUAGAGGAAGAACUCCAAAGGGGAUAUAAUCAAUUAACGACGGAUAAUUACAAUGCAUAUAUGCGACAGCCGACAAAUAGCACAAGAAAGAAAACAAUUUGUGUUAAGUUUCAAUCACAUUUUAAUCAAUAGCACAAGAUAGAUACAACCAAGGCUUAGAGCAGAUGAGGUGUUCUAUCAAAUAGGUGCAGCUGAAGCUCAGUGCAGAUGAGCUAUGCUAUCCUGUUUACACCUACAACUACAACCAAGUCCAAGCUUCCAAUUCACACAAAAACAAUUACAUCAGAGUAUUUUGUUCUCAUGUUUGCAGAUGUCAUGAGGAACACGUGCUUAUAGUUAGUUGUGCAAUAGGAAGGUUGUUAGUCUAAUCAGAUUGUAUAAGUUGUUAGCAAAGUUGUUAGGAGGUAGUUAUAAGUGUAACUAAGUCUUGUAUUGAAGGGGUCUGUCUAUAUAUAGACUUUCCUUACCUAUUGUAAAGAUUAAUCUUUCUGUACUGAAUAAAAUGAAUUUCUUCUUGAUCUUCCGAUUCUCAUUCUUUUCACAGAAAUUUAAUAUGGUAUCAGAGCUUUUAUGCUCAUCCAAGAAUCGAUCCAUUUUCCUUUCCCUUUAUUCAUCUCUUCUGAGUAACACAAAGGCAAUAUCAAUAGUUUGUUUUGCUAUAUGCACCUGUUUUUUUUCUAUUCUGUAAAGAAAAGAGAUGAUUAAUUAAAGCAGUAACUCACAAAACACAUAGAUUGUUAACAUUGUACUUUCUCCAUCUGUGUACUUUCUCCAUCCCUUUGACAGUAGCCAAAAGAUUGUUAACAUUGUGUUUUCUGAAAGGGGCUUUUCAAAUUGGAAAAGAGUCAUAACUAUUGCUCUUUCAAGAAGAAACAAAUUAGGGUUUGUCGAUGGCACCCUAAGUAGACCAAGUAGUAACUUAGCAGCAAGAACAUGGGAUAGAGUAGACAAAGUUGUUAUAGGAUGGAUUAUAGGGGUUCUUAAAUAUUCAAUUGGAAACAGCAUUUGAUCAUUAAAGACUUCUAAAGAAAUAUGGGAUGAACUAGGAGAAAGAUAAGGUCAGAGUUUCAAAUGCACAAAUGUUAUCUGUAAAAGAAGACUUAAAUGCACUGGUUCAGACACCAAAAAUGAGUACAUUAGAAUUCUUUACCAAAAUCAAAACCCUAUAGGAUGAGUUUAAUGGAUUAAACCCUAUUCCUAAAUGUACUUGCACUACUGCUAGGUAACUAAUCGUGAUGUGGCCAAGAAAAUGUUUAAGAUGCAACAGAAUAACAAAGUUAUUAGUUUUCUCAUGAAGCUUGACAAGAGGUAUAAGCAAGUCAAGAGUAACAUGCUUAGGAUGCCAGACUUACCCACAACAACACAAGCCUAUAGAAUUAUAUUACAAGAGGAAAGAUCACUUGCAAUUCAGCACUAGUGGAGGUAGUCUAAAUGAGACUAUGGCAUGUAGGGAAGACAAAAGGAAAUAUUAUGAAAGAGGGAACAACAAAACCAGUACUCAGAAUGUCACAAAAACAAGAAACUAAAUCUUUGGUGUGAUCAUUGCAAGAUUAAAGGUCACAUAAAAGAGAAAUACUAGAAGAUCAUUACUUACCUUGUAAACCAUACGUCUAGUACUUGAAAAAGGAAAAAUCACAAAAUUAGUACACAUGCAAAUGCAGAUAGCGCACAAGAAGAAACAAAAGGAUAUGUUAGUGCUAAAUUUACUCAUGAUCAGUACCAACAGUUCCUAGACAUAAUGAGCAAAGAUGAGCCUAAAGCUAGUAUAACUGAUGCUUAUUCUAGUCAACUAACAAGUACUUUAUGUUUAUUAGCACAUAGUAUAAACUUAGGAUUAUAGAUAGUGGAACUUCAGACCAUAUGUGUCAUGACAUUCACCAAUUUACUAACUAUAGUUUUAUUGAGAAAGGAAAUAUGAAGUAACAAUACCUGAUGGCACAAGAUUGAAAAUAAGAUAUAAAGGCACAGUCAUAUUGCAUAAUGGAAUAACCUUACAUAAUAUCUAGUUUUUACCAAAAUUCAAGUAUAAUCUCAUAUUGGUUAGUAAAUUGUCAUCAUAUAUAAAUUGCAAAAUUUUCUUUACUCUACAUGGAUGUUAUAUUGAGGAAACCUUGAUGAAGAAGCCUUGGCUUCUUGGUGAAGAACAAAGUGGUUUAUAUGUCAUACAAAGCAAAGAUGCUAAGCCAAAAUUUGUCAUCAAUCCAAGUAGCUCAAGCAUGACAACAAACAAUAAUACUCUCCAUAAUAAGGCUAAGUUAUGGCAUCUCAAAAUUGGACAUAUGCCCAUGCAAAGGCUAGAGUGCAUCAUUCCAGAAUUGAUGAAUAAUCUGGUCAAGAAUCAAGUAUUCUGCACUAUAUGUCCUCUUCCAAAACAAAGAAGAAGCACAUAUCCUUUGUCUUUGAGCAGAACAAAACACCCUCUGGAACUUUUGCAUCUAGAUAUAUGGGGGCCAUUUAAGCCCCCUCUAGAUCAAAUUAUAAGAUGUUCAUCACAAUUGUAGAUGACUUUAGUAGAAUGUGUUGGAUUUUUUUAAUGACGAACAAAUCUGAGUAUUGAAAAAUCUUUAUACAGUUUGUGAAACUUAUUAAAAAUCAAAUGUCCCUCAAAGUGAAAGUUGUGAGAUCAGACAAUGCAAGAGAAUUAACUAAACGGAAAGCUCUGAACUUCUACCUUAAUUAUGGUAUAAAAUAGCAAAUUAGCUGCACAGACACUCCUCAACAGAAUGGGUAAUGGAAAGAAAACACAACCACAUUUAGAAACAACAGUGCUUAUUCUUUCAGUCAAAUCUCCUUAUGAAAUUUUGGGGGAACUGCAUUCAAUGUGCAGUUGAUUUGAUAAAUAGGAUGCCUCUAAGUGUCCUAAAAGACAUUACACCAUGUGAAAAAUUUCAUGGUACCGAACCAGAUUUAACACACCUAAAGGUGUUUGGUUGUUUGUGUUUUGUCAGCACAUUAAAGUAAGGUAGACACAAAUUUUCUAAGAGAGUACAAAAGUGUGUGUUCCUUGGUUAUUCAUCAAAUAAAAAAAGGAUAUAAGGUAUAUAAUAUUGAAAGAAACAUUGAAAUAAUAUCAAAGGAUGUUGUGUUUCAUGAAAUACUGUUUCCUUAUCAGUUAUUGAAAUCUCAGAACAACACUAAUGAGAUCAGAACAUUCUUUUUACCUGAACAUCCUGAAACAGCAAAUUCCAACACACAAAACAACAGUGUGUAUGAUUCUGAUUAUUCGCAAGAAUAUACUUAUGAUACUUCCACCAAUUUAGACAUUGAUGUUGCAUCAAAACAAAAAAAAUACAAACAAAAACAAUGCAAUCAAGAAUUAUGAAAACUCACCACCUCAUCAAAGAAGGUCUGAAAGAAUCUCUUAAACCACCUAAAUAUUUAGAGGACUAUCAUUGCAAUGCUACUAAGCAUUAGUGUGGCCUUGUUCAAUACAAAGACAUACAUUGUGCUACUAACACAAUAACAUCAAAAUCUGAAUUCUUUGAGCCAAGAUACUUUAAAGAAGCUAUUAAUAUUCCUCACUGGAAGAAAGCUAUGGACAAGGAAAUACAAGCCUUAGAAAGCAACCAAACUUGGGACAUAGUUUCUUUACCCAUAGGCAAAAAGGCCAUAGGGUGCAAAUGGAUCUUCAAAGUCAAACAAAAAGCUAUUGGCACCAUAGAAAGGUACAAGGAAAGGUUGGUGGCUAAAGAAUAUAACCAAAAAUAUGGCAUAGACUAUGAUGAGACAUUUUCGCCAGUAGUAAAAAUGUCAACAAUUAGAUGUCUCAUAGCCACAACAGCACAUAAACAUUGAACUUUACACCAAUUGGAUGUAAACAAUGCAUUCUUGCAUGUGGAAUUGAAGGAAAAAGUAUACAUGCAACUACCACAAGGAUAUUCAAGCAUUAAAAAAAAAGUUUGAAAACUCAAAAAGUCUUCGUAUGGCUUGAAACAAGCCUUAAGAUAGUGGUUUGCAAAACUUGUUCAAAAAUUGAUUAAUCAAGGAUAUCAUCAAUCCAAGAAUGAUUACUCACUCUUUACAAAAACGGAGGCAAACAACAUAACCUUUCUAGCCACUUAUGUAGAUGAUAGAAUCUUGACAAGAAAUAAUGCUCAAGAAAUCAGUGAGAUGAAAACAUCUUAAUAAUGUGUUUAGUAUCAAAGACUUAGGUAAAUUACAUUUCUUCCAUGGGAUAGAAGUUAACUACCUACAAGAUGACAUUGUUCUUUCCCAACACAAAUUUACAAAGGAUUUCUUAAAAGAGUAACGGAAGAGCUUUAACUCCUCUUCCUAUUCACAUUAAACUUUCUGCCCUAGAUGAAGAACUCUUAAAAGAUCCUACACCAUACAGAAGCAUGGUAGGCAAGCUUAAUUUUUUGACAAAUACCAAGCCUGACCUACCAUAUGCCAUACAAACUUUAAGUCAAUUCAUGCAAAAGCACAUAGACUCUCACUGGCAAGCUCUUCAGCACACUCUAUCCUAUGUCAAUCACAAAUGUGGACAAGGUAUUUUCCUCAAAGCUUCAAACAAAAUUACCAUCCAAGCCUUUUUAGAUAAUGAUCGGGGGUUAUGUAUUGAUUCUAGAAGGUCUGUACUGGAUAUUUAAUCAUGCUUAGAUAAUCACCUAUAUUAUGGAAAUCUAAGAAGCAAUGGACUAUAACUAGAUCAAGUUCUGAAGCAGAAUAUAGGACAAUGGCCUCUACUACUGCAGAAAUAACUUGGAUUGUUAGGUUACUUGAGGAACUCAGUCUCAUAAACCUUAGACCCAUCACACUUCAUUGUGAUAACCUGUCUGCUAUAUACAUAGCAAAGAAUCAUGUUUUUCAUGACAAAACUAAGCAUAUUGAAGUGGAUUGCCACUUCACUAGAGAUUAAGUGUUUGAAGGAUUAAUUCAACUCUCUUAUUAACCAACAACACAUCAACUAGCUGAUGUGUUAACCAAAAUCCUACCUUCCACACAGUUCAAUAAUCUUCUUAGCAAACCGGGAAUGGUAAGUCCCCAUUCCAGUUUAAGGGGGGAUGAUAAGGAUAGAUAGAUGUAGCUAAGGCUUAGAGCAUAUGAGGGGUUCUAUCCAAUAUGUGCAGCUUAAGCUCAGUGCAGAUGAGGUGUGCAAUCCUGUUUACAGCUAUAACUGCAAGCAAGUAUACUAAGUCAAAUACAGAAGAAUAACCAAAAACGUAAGAUAGAAAAUUUGCUAGUGUAUUUUUUAGAUAAAAUCAGCUAUGAUAAAUACAGUAGCAAAUUAGUAUUUUCAACAGAAGUAUACUACGAUUGAAAAAAUCGAUUGAAAAAAUAACUCAAUAGAAGAAUAACUCAUUAGUAUUGUCAACAAAAGUAUACAACAGAAGAAUAACUCAAUAGUAUAGUCAAUGGAGUCUAAAAAUCGAUUGAAAAAAUACACAAAUAAAAAAAAACAGAACCAAUCAAAGUAGAUAAAGCAUAAAAGGAUGAAUCAACUACAAAAUCCUUCAAAAAUUAACAUUAAAACUUUAUCAGCAUAAAAAUAAGAAAGAUAAUGAUAAAUAAAAAAGAAAAACAAAAAAAAAUUAAACUAGAAAAGCAAGCAAA
This is a long non-coding RNA of Amaranthus tricolor (Joseph's coat), 6264 nucleotides long. RefSeq lists it as uncharacterized. The transcript is spliced from 3 exons. The record is from RefSeq and is a predicted model, not a curated record. Lineage: Eukaryota; Viridiplantae; Streptophyta; Magnoliopsida; Caryophyllales; Amaranthaceae.